RNAcentral lists this transfer RNA (91 nucleotides) under Oryza punctata. It matches the Rfam family "tRNA". From Rfam's summary of the family: Transfer RNA (tRNA) molecules are approximately 80 nucleotides in length. Their secondary structure includes four short double-helical elements and three loops (D, anti-codon, and T loops). Further hydrogen bonds mediate the characteristic L-shaped molecular structure. tRNAs have two regions of fundamental functional importance: the anti-codon, which is responsible for specific mRNA codon recognition, and the 3' end, to which the tRNAs corresponding amino acid is attached (by aminoacyl-tRNA synthetases). tRNAs cope with the degeneracy of the genetic code in two manners: having more than one tRNA (with a specific anti-codon) for a particular amino acid; and 'wobble' base-pairing, i.e. permitting non-standard base-pairing at the 3rd anti-codon position. Lineage: Eukaryota; Viridiplantae; Streptophyta; Magnoliopsida; Poales; Poaceae. The record is from Rfam by way of RNAcentral.
GGGGUGGUGGCGCAGUUGGCUAGCGCGUAGGUCUCAUAGCUAGAAAAAGCGAGUAAUCCUGAGGUCGAGAGUUCGAGCCUCUCUCACCCCA